This 253-nucleotide ribosomal RNA is filed under the name uncultured bacterium. RNAcentral's name for it is "partial 16S ribosomal RNA". It matches the Rfam family "Bacterial small subunit ribosomal RNA", at positions 524 to 776 of the family's 1533-position model. The record is from RNAcentral.
UACGUAGGGGGCUAGCGUUGUCCGGAAUCAUUGGGCGUAAAGGACGCGUAGGCGGUGCGGCAAGUCACCUGUGAAACCUCUGGGCUUAACCCAGAGCCUGCAGGCGAAACUGCCGUGCUGGAGUGUGGGAGAGGUGCGUGGAAUUCCCGGUGUAGCGGUGAAAUGCGUAGAUAUCUGGAGGAACACCGGUGGCGAAGGCGGCAUCCUGGACCGGCAUUGACGCUGAGGCGCGAAAGCCAGGGGAGCAAACGGG